This 227-nucleotide ribosomal RNA is filed under the name uncultured bacterium. Its description in RNAcentral is "partial 16S ribosomal RNA". It matches the Rfam family "Bacterial small subunit ribosomal RNA", at positions 107 to 334 of the family's 1533-position model. The record is from RNAcentral.
UGAGUAACACGUAUCCAACCUGCCGUCUACUCUUGGACAGCCUUCUGAAAGGAAGAUUAAUACAAGAUGGCAUCAUGAGUUCACAUGUUCACAUGAUUAAAGGUAUUCCGGUAGACGAUGGGGAUGCGUUCCAUUAGAUAGUAGGCGGGGUAACGGCCCACCUAGUCUUCGAUGGAUAGGGGUUCUGAGAGGAAGGUUCCCCACAUUGGAACUGAGACACGGUCCAA